UCUGCGUUGAAUGGCAGAGGAGUUAUGUGAAGCUGUUUUGGCUGUGUCUCUGAAGGAAGAUGAGAUUUGGUUCUCACAGCUGACUGCCUCUGUGGACCAGAACAGGAAUCUCCUACCUCCAAAAACUGGUCUUGAGUGGGAUAUAGACAGCCUCUGUUAAGAUUCUUUAUGAGGACUGAGGAAGACAAAGUCAAUCUUAAACCUUUGACUCCUAACAUCUUCCAAAACUAGGACUACAUUGACCUUGGCUUGUCAACUCCAAGGCCGCAAGGGAUUCUUCACGCACUAGGAUCCAUCUGUGAAGAAGACUUGAAUCCAGUUGUAGAUAUUCUGUUAUUUUGAUAAAUUAAUUCUUAAAGUGUUGGACAAUGUAAUUAAAAACUUAUUUCUAGAGUGUUGAUGUCUGUUAACGUCGUGAACAUUAUGAAGUCAAUGGAGCUUGAAAAUGGGACAGCAAUAUAAAAUGUUUUACUCUGUUUUGUCGUGGUGUUUCAGACUAACCUCGCCUUUGCUUUUGGUGUGCCCAGUGGCACUGUGCCGAGCGAUAAGCGCGUUGUCGUGUCGUGAUCAUUUUUCUUCAUUUCGCCCUGCGUCCCUGGAGGCGACAAGAACACCGCGCCCCUCAAAUUAAUCCUCCGAGACACGAAAUCCGUUUAAACAACUCCCACGACUUCUGAUUCCUUCUUCUUUUCUCUUCAUAUGAGAUAUGAUUUAUGGAAAGGUUCAGGUAUCUGAAAUGGUCUUUCUUCUCCUUCUUCAUAUUUCAGCUACUUUUUUCCCCGACAUUUGUACAGUGUAGUAUUUAUUUUGAAAAUUGUAGAUCUUAAUUGAUUUUAAUCAUUAAAGACGACACUAAAGACAAUGCAGCAAAUCGUUGAAGCCUAUAGAUUUUAGGCGGUAUUUCCUUAUUUCAUUUGUUACUACAAACGCUCAAAAUGUCCUCCGUUGACACGAACACAUGUGCACCACGACUUCGGAACACGGCACUUAGCCUUCGAGUACCCCGGGUAUGUUACUGUUAGUACCUAGUUACGAAGUCCUUCCAACGCAUGUGUUCAUGCCCACGGAGGACAUUUCGAGAAUUGUUUGUAACAUAUGCAAAAAAAAUCAUUUUAGUAAAGAAUUUCGCAUGUUAGAGAUACUGGAACAUCAUACCAUUAUUUUAUAUUCUCUACCUUUCCACAGAAGCAUUUUUGGAACUUCAUUCAACGAAUAUUUUCUCAUGUUGACAUCACGAAGUUCUAUCAAUUAUGGCACAAUUUAGAAAUACACUGUGUAAUGAAUAACAGGGACAUUCUAUUUACCUGCUUGUCCGAGUGUUUUUUGACAAUCAAAAAUUUUCAAUUAUGUUUUACUCCAUCCGCGCGUAGGUAACCCUCACUCUACCUGAAAUUCAAAUCAUACCUUAAAUAUUAUCUCAAAAAGUAUCACAAUGCAAAAAGUAAGAAAAAUUGCAUGAAACACAUUAAAUUAAAACACGUCAAUUUCAAACAUUCUUGAGAAUGAUACAUAUUUAACAAAACAUACCUUAAAUAUAAAUAUUAUGGCUUUAUACUUUGGAAAUUUGUUAUUGAUUACUUUCGUCAUUAACAGAAUUUAUUUAUCUUUACUUUAUUUCUCCAAUGAACGAACAUCAAGACCAUUCAAUUCUGUAGACAAUAAUGGCACUAAACAUAAGCUUCAAAUUGGAUUACACGUGUAUUUCCCUGUUUCAGCUACUCUCAUGCACAUUUGUCGACCGAAAACUGAUUGCAAUUUCCGUGCGUGCGGUUAGCAACAAUGCUGGAAGACAUUCUAUAAAAUCGUGCUGCUGAGCAAACAACACUUUACAUCUGCAGGUAGCGGCGUGUUUACCGAAGCAAACAUUGCAUCCGAACAGGAAAUGCGAGGCUGUCGAUUAGCCUACCGUCUAUUUACCCACGGUUUAAUUACCCCUAGUUGCCGCCAGAGUGCUCGCGUGUCACUCUUGACACGCAACGUAGAAUCCAUUAAAAUCCUCUGCACAAAUAUUUCCGAACUCGAAUCAAGUUACUAGGUAAUUUUUCUGUAACUACGUGCUCGUGCGUGCGCGCGCAUUGUUGCUUGUACAUAUUAAUACUACGUCAACUUAAAGGAAACGUGCUUUGUGAUAUUGUGUGUAUAGACCUUGUUUAUUUCAUAUUUUUCUUUCUUCGAAUCUGUAGGCACCUCACAUAUUAAUUUAAUACUGAGACAUCUGACAGGUACAUGAAAGAAGUCUUUCCUGGUGAAAGAGACCGUCUCCGAAACAUGGGAUUCUAACUCCAUGGCUCUGCUGUAGCACAAUCAAUAUAGUGACUAGGUUAGGGGAUGGACAGCCGGGGUUCGAUUGCCGAUAGAGAAGGCUACUUUUCUUCGCCACUGCACGUCCAGACCGGUUCUGGGGCCCACCCAAUGCUCAUAUCCAUGGGUAAAGCCGUAGAGACGUGAAGUUAAGCAUUCUCCUUCGUCUACCUAGUGUCGAGGUUAAGAAUGCGUGGAGCUGUACAUCCAUUACAUAAGUCUAUAAGGCGUGAAGUUUAAUGAAGAAAUUUCGUACUUACACGACUGAUCUCUUUAGAAUACAUUAUAUUAGUUUGCCAUGAAAGCUUCAAAUAUCAUCUAACUUUAUUAUCGUGUUACUCCGAAUUAUAUCUCCGUGAAUGUAAUGAGUACGGUCCGACGGUCCAGGGUUUUGUUUCCGGCAGGGGUGUUUUUUUAUGUUCAGCUCUACAGCAGAGUUUCGUGUCUCGUUGUCUACGGGAAUAAUUUCCUGAGUAGGAUAUGGAGUCCUCCGUUAACAGAAUGAGGAAGACUUCGAAUGUUACCUACCAUUCAACAUGCCUGUCUGCUUAGGCCCAGGAAAUCCCCAAUUUGAAAAAUGUGGAAUAAAUUACAAUGUGAAGAACUGAUCUCUAUGCUGUUUACAGGCUGUUUCAUUCUUUUUUAGAUUUUGAAGAUUAUAAAGUAAUUAAAUUUAAUACAGGAUAUACCAUUUACAAAACAACCUAACAGUAAUAAAGAACUACGUUAUUAAAUAUAAUCAAAUGCAGCUCUAGACCCAUGUAAUAGACCUCUCGAGUCAAAAUCACCCUGGUUGCUAGGCUGCUGCUCCAGUCAGCUGCGCAAAAAUUGUAGAUGUGGACGUGGUAUGUUCAUUAGCAGGGCAUGAACAGAGAUUAGAAUUUAUAUUUUUGGCAUUAUUCCUUAUUGUAUACUAUUAUUUAUGGAUUACUGUGAUGAAUUGGAGACCUUGUUUAUCUUCUUCUUCUUUAUUACGCCGUCUCCUUUACAGGAGGUUGGCGACAUAUUAUGAACAGGAUCCUUCCAUCCUGCCUUGUUUGUUUUUCAUUUUUGAACAUUACUUCACAUCGAAAUUUUAUGUUGUGAAGCCUUUAGCAACCCUUAUCUCGAGAAUAUUUUUUGUAAAAGGAGAAUAGUUGUGGCCCGAAGACUGAUAAAGUGACAGGGGGAUGGAAAAUAUUACGUGGUAAGGAGCUACAUAACUUGUCCAAAAAAUCUUCUACACUACGAUUUAUUUUGUUGCUAUGGCAUUAACAUGUUUUGAUGUAUAAAGUGUAAUAUUGAGGCUUCCACACUUGUUACAUCAAUCGCUGAAUGUAAUUAGCUGUGUCCAUGAAUCUUACGUGAAAUUUAAAAUUAUAUUUUAAGUUGAUUUAGUUGUUACAGUAGGUUCUUUCAUUAUUAAUUAGUCAUUUGUUAUAUUAACUAUUAGUUGUGUUAUACUGUCUAAAUCAGUGGUAUUCAACCUUUUUUGUUCGUGUACCCCCAGAUAUAAUUUCUC
Zootermopsis nevadensis is the source of this 3802-nucleotide non-coding RNA. Lineage: Eukaryota; Metazoa; Arthropoda; Insecta; Blattodea; Termopsidae. The record is from RefSeq and is a predicted model, not a curated record.